RNAcentral lists this ribosomal RNA (491 nucleotides) under uncultured bacterium. Its description in RNAcentral is "bacterial SSU rRNA". It matches the Rfam family "Bacterial small subunit ribosomal RNA", at positions 903 to 1397 of the family's 1533-position model. The record is from RNAcentral.
AAAUGAAUUGACGGGGACCCGCACAAGCAGAGGAGCAUGCCGUUUAAUUCGACGAUACGCGAAAAACCUUACCUAGACUUGACAUUCUAUGCAUAGUAUGGAAACAUAUGAAACCCUUCGGGGCAUAGGGACAGAUGGUGCAUGGUUGUCGUCAGCUCGUGUCGUGAGAUGUUGGGUUAAGUCCCGCAACGAGCGCAACCCUCAUGUAAAGUUGCUACAUUCAGUUGAGAACUCUUUACAGACUGCCGCGGACAACGCGGAGGAAGGUGGGGAUGACGUCAAAUCAUCAUGCCUCUUACGUCUAGGGCUACAGGCGUGCUACAAUGGCGACUACAAAGUGUUGCCAACCAGUAAUGGGGAGCCAAUCACAAAAAAGUCGUCUCAGUUCGGAUUGAGGGCUGAAACCCGCCCUCAUGAAGUUGGAUUUGCUAGUAAUCCCGAAUCAGCAUGUCGGGGUGAAUACGUUCCCGGGUCUUGUACACACCGCCCGU